CAGAUAGCGGUCCGCGGGCCUCAUUUGCAAGGCGCUGCGCGGCGCAUGCAGAAGCAGCCGCGGGCCGGCGGGGCGCGCAGAUAAGGUCUGGGGGCGCGGGCUUCGGGCUGUACCUGCAUUAUCGCGGCUUCCUUAGCUGGGAUGAAUAUGUAAAUCUCCCGCCGCCGCCGCCUCCCGGAGCCGCAGCCGCAGCCGUGGGGGCCGCCUCCGCUGUAGCAAUUCCGAGGGAUAUGCUACAACUAGCAGACAUGAAGCCAUCAAGGCAUCUUGAGCCUGGCUACCUCCCAUGGCCUGUAUUUGGUCCACAGGAAACUCACUCAGUCUUGCUACAGCAAGACUGAGGUGGUAUAGGGUGCCUGUUGCUGCCUCUCUCCUCACCUUGCCACAGAAGGCUGUCCCAGUCUGACCCCCGCUUCCAGAGUUUCUCCAGGACAUGUUCCAUUUCUUGACCUGGUGGUGGAUGUCUGGGUAUGUUCACUUCAUGAAAAUUGCAUCCAUCAAGACACUCAGGAUUUGUGCACCUUUAUUAGGAAGGAGAAGUGGCCUGAGUUGAGAAUGUAUAAAGAUUCCUGGACAGAAGCUAAUGGCCUGGCUGACUGGUCAGAGUCCUGGGAGGAAAAAGAUAAAAGGAUUGGAGACAAGAUGGUCUGAAGCUGAGACAUGUGUAUGGACAUAUGGACAUUGGUGUAAACUCUGAAGAUUUUUUAUCACAUAUUAACUCUGACCAGAAGCUAUCUACCACAGAAGAGUCACUGAAUAACUAAGAAGACAAAACGACUUAGCCAGUUGAUUUUAACAAACCUUCAUCAUUGGCCAUCCCAGAACUGGCAGAAUGGACAAAUGAAUAGCCAUGAUUGUAGAGACAAAGGAUAGUAUGGGUCCAAUCAUGAAUUUCCACUAAGGAAAGACAAUUUAGCUACUUCUGCCAUUGAAUACCUAACUUGCCAGCACCAUGGACCAAUACUGAGCCUCUAGAUCUGGUGCUAUUCCUCAAGGAGACCACUGAGCCACUUGGUA
Molecule: long non-coding RNA, 1017 nt
Organism: Sapajus apella (tufted capuchin)
Lineage: Eukaryota; Metazoa; Chordata; Mammalia; Primates; Cebidae
Exons: 4
Source: RefSeq, a predicted model, not a curated record